AUGUCAAUGCGGAGAACAUUGUGCGUGUGAAAUUUUUAACAAAAAAACUUUUUGAAAUUUCAUGGCUUAAUAUCCAAUUAGCCAAUGUAUUUGCCCUGGGAGCAAAAGAAUUUUUCAAAAAGGUUGUACUGUCCGUCCAAGGGUUGCCGCAGGCAGAUCAACGAGCACUAAUGACCAAAGGGGUAAUCCAAUAAUUUGGAAACGAGGAACGUCCUUUUUCUCAAAGUUUCGUUAAACUCUUCGAAAAUUUUGAGAAAACCGACCAUGCAUGUUCCAAUAUAACCCUGUACCCAUCGUCGACAAUUUAUGAGUUGUGUCAGCCGAAAGUGGCGACCCUUUGUCGGCGGAGAAACGUAACUUGACCGUAACGUUUCACAUAAGACCAAUAGAAAAUACCUCCUUCAAUUUACCGAUGACCCGGUGGUCACUUCGAGGCGGUCGCUUCUUCAAAGUCUCAAAAUCACAAUCGGUCAUUACGGGUUAGUCAAGAAGCAAGUCUCGGUCAGCAGAGUAGCCAGCAGCGAAACUUUUUUUGAGAGAGACUCGUCGGAAGCCGAGACCACCUCUAGUUCAUUUUUUGGGCCAAACCGUAUAAACCGAAGCAAUCGACAAUUCUGAUAAAGCAGUGGUCAUCCAUAUAAGGAAACGUCACGCUUUUAAUUUGAUCCACUUUUGACACGUCUUUCAUGGACAUUCAAAUGCCUCAGGCCAUCACGUGCUGGGUCCGUUACUCCAAACGACGGUCCCCACAUUUCUACAAGCUGGACCAGAACAGCAUACAACGUGCCGCUAUUUUCUUAAUUAUCGUUAAUGAUUUUUUAGCAAGCCACGAAAGCCCAACGUUCUAAAUUGACUUGUAAAACGUCACACCGCAUUUACUUUCGCAUUAGCCCAGGUCCCAUCGAGCAGCAUUGUUUUAAGGCCCACGGCAUAAUUUUCCUGUUAAUUCAAAACGCGUCUACGGAUUUUCCUUUCGGCGGACGCAUAAGAGUGACCACCCAAGUGGAACGUCCUCAAUUCUGGAUCCAUUUUUAUCAUCCGUAACUUGAUUAGAAUUACCACACGUACCUUAGAGCUGUUAACCUUUUUCUUCAUUCCAAAAAAUAUAUACGUCCACUUUCUUCAUAUUCACAUCAGCAGCCUAGAAAAAAGAAAUUCAAAAACGGAAUACACCAUCGGUCCUCCCAUUUGUUCUAGAACGUGACCCUAGGUCAGUUCUAAGUAUCCUAAAUACAAAUACCAUAUCAGACGUCAGUCCAGACACACUGACAUAGUUCUAAACACAUCGGUAUUAUGUUCAGCGAUCAAAAGCAUAUUGAAUCUUCCACCAAAGUAUCAAAAGCAUCAUAUUUCACACGUCGAGUCCUCUCGAGCAAUAUAACCUCGAUAAUCAAUAUUUUUAAUCGACUCAACCGACUGAUAAGCUCAUUGUAAGUAGGUGCGAAUAAUCAGAAUUAAUUAGGUCUUAACUAAUACAAACUUUAUGCAUUUCUAAUACUCUUAUUGUAUUUAAAAAAAGAAACACUAUAGUCUUAUAAAAUAGCCACAAGCUGGUGACGUCAUCGUGCACUCAUAACCUACUUUUAUAUUUUCUUUUGGUGUUACCACGGAAAGGAUAUAUCGUUUAUGGUUGGCACGAACUAUGGUUUCGGUACCUGAACUGUCAGUCACUGAAAAGCAUUCAGAAGCGGUUAAUGCGGUUUUAAAGGUAGCCCCACACUGGGUAACUGGAAGUAAACUUGUCGGUAUACGAGAUGAGAUCGUGUAUAGAUAGGAUCUGAAGUACCAGGACCACCCGGGCUAUUUAGAGCGAUGUGGCUGAUCGGCAGGGACCACGAUUAUGGUGUCCGGUGUCCGGUGUCCCAUAGGGAAUGUUAACACCUGUUAUGCAUAUUCAAAGGGAAGGAAGAAAGCGGCGGGAAAAUUUGGAUGGGACAUGGAAACUGUAAAUUUUUUUUCCUUUCUCUACAUCUUUACGAAGGUCUCUUUGGGACUAGACAUUAUGCUAAGACUUCGCACCUAUUUCAACACGGUCUUAUCCGGCUUCGGAUCAGCCAGUAUUUGUCUCCUAAACGAGGAUUUCUGGCACCAUUUCACCCGACAUGUUUCUUCUGACGAUCUGGAUCUUGGACCAUUCAUCCCUAUGAAACUUUGGGACAUCGUGUUUUACAGAGGCAGAUUUAGGAGUUAUCUUGUUAUUCCAUAAAGUUUUAACUACUCCCUGUGCCAAGGAAGGGAUGAACGAAAUUACUUUAUACGUCCAGUGAGUAUGGUUUGAGCCAGAUAUAAAAAAGCUGGUACCUCAAAUUUGAUUGAAAAUAGAUAAUACCUUCUACAAACUGUCGGAUGCUCCAAAUUCGAAACCGCCCACAUCCGCCAUUACGGACAUCAGAUCAGUAUUUGUUUGUUUUACUCGUAUAAUCAGGUAACUCCAUUUAUACUACGUGAUCAGGACCCGUAUCAUAAUUGGACCGCCAUCAUAAAUCUUAUCAAGAUCGCUUAAAACUGCUCGUGGUCCAUUCGAAAUUCACGAAAGCCCCUCAUCUCGGAUUGGAGUCCUUCUGCUGUUUUCUUCAGAAAACUUCCUGCAGGAACAUUCUGGAUAGUCACGACGGGAGGCGUCAUAUGGAACUUUUGUGAUGCUGGAACAUUUUGAAAGUCACCCAUGACGCCCACUGUAGCAGACUCCUUUCAGAUUACGCACCAACUGACUGCAGUCCCGUUCGUCCUUCAUCAGGAAUGAAUGGAAAGGAUAGCGUGAGAUUUCUUGAACGUAUAGAAUGAUUAAUCUAAGAAGAUCGCAGUGAAUGAAGUCUGAAAACACUGCACGGUAACAAGAGAAUAUCCAAAAUCAAAAAGCCACAGGAUAAUAUUGUGGCGAAGGUACGGCUGACCUAAAAUGCACAGAGUCUUUCACUGUAAUAAAUAUUAAAACAAGAAAGUCGACUUUCUCGAGAUAAAUAGGAUGGCGGUAGUACCUUCAAGUGUAGAAACGCAAGCAAGAGGAUUUUCUGCCAUUGGUGACUUACCUGUUUCGGAAGGAGCACUUAUGAAUUCGGGGUAGUAAGAAGGUAAUAGGAGGGCGCGCGUAGGGUGCUUUAGAGGGAGGCCACCAUAUGGGGAGCAUACGGCGAGCAGGCACCCGCUCCCUCAAGGGUUUAAUCUACUGACAAACUACUGUCGAAAAAAUCAGUAAUAUCUACAUCUACUUUUGCAACUAUCAUCUUCCCAUGCAUGAGAACGCAUAUGUAUCACUCGAUGGCAGUGCACAAGAAGCUACGUCGAUUCUUUUAAGAAUAAAAAGAAAGCUUUUGAAUGUCUUCAAUUGGCAUAUCGAACGCCAUGAAAUUGGACAAAUUCAAUUGGUGAAUUUGACGAGUAGCGGAAUAAUACGGUGUUGGUGCAGAGUAGAGAAGAGACUCGAGGGUCCCUCGCUUGCCAACUGUCCCAGGUGUAGAUCCCAGGAACACGAGGAGUGUGGCUGGCGCGUGCUGCUACUCCCCAGUUCUCGCUGCUCGAUCCCCGAUCCACGCCUUCACAUUGCCACCGAUCAUUGGUUCAGCUUGGUCACGCUUUAUAAACAUGCGAGCAUAGCUUUUUAAACUGCACACGUUCGCUCACCUCGUUUUCGACACGAACUUAAAACAUAAGGGUUGAAAUUUUCAUAACUAUAACUGAACCCCAUCUUGGGAUGUCUUAGAAUCACGCUACCAACGGUUCAUUACUGAAAGCCAAAAAUUGUAAUACAGUAAACUAUGAAAAAUUAUUUUCUAAAACAAGUACAAACCAUUUACCGAAUAAUUGAGUAACAAAAAUAAUUCAGACUUUAAGCUUCGAAUAGUCUUACAAUUUUGCUUAACUUUUUCUUUUCUAUCUGUGUGGUUUCUGAUUGAAUAGGAAAUAGGGGUUGGAAUUAAAGAUUGCACCUGAGGCGUUUCGUUUUUCUUACAUUGUAAUUCUCAUAUGUGUAUUUCGUGAUGUGGUCAAAGAAUAAUUUCGUGAAGAGGGAACGAAUCAAUGAUGAUCGAAAUUCUCGGUCCUUCUGCAAUUAUGGAAAUUCAACCCUACAGAAAAUCAAGGAUAUCGGUUAACGUGAUUCUCGUGCAGACGAAUAUCGGGUCUAUGAAGGUACAGAUUAAUUAACGAUUUUCUAAAGAUGCGUGCCAACCCCAGGCGAUAUUUUAAUAUGAAUAAUCAAGCCCUCGUUAGAGCCAGAAUCCCGGUGAAACUAAUUAUGCAAAUGUGCGUUAAGAUACGUUAACGAAUUUUACAAUCGCCCUAAUAACCCAACGUAUCGAUAAUUUGACAGAUAAAAAUGUACCGAUCAAAUCAAAGGUGUAAAAUCACCCUCGACAUUGUUAAACAUGCCUACCAAGAACCAGUGUUCUACCCUAUUUAAUAAUUUACAACCCCCUGAUACUACCCCAGUUGCACCAACCCUUGAAACGACCUCCUGCCCAAAGUGCAUCCCAUUUUAAAAAAUUAUUUCAACUCUCCACUCCGUCCAUUAGUUAUCCGUAAUCGCAGCUCUUUCAACAACCACGUUGCAAAUAUUACACGGUUCACUUGGCUUCCUCAAUUAAUUAAAAUAUUUAUCACUAAUGUCUUAUCACCAAUAAAAUCACUCUCUCCCGUAAAUCCUUAUCCCCUAUACUUUCUCGAACGUUCUCACGUUCCCAUUUUAUACGUUUCCAUCCAGCAAUUUUCGAGCCAACCACCACCUCUCCCAUUUUACCUAUAGUCGAAGUAAUCGACCGAAGCCUCGCGUUUAAAUUCACAGCUUGAACGUUCUUAUCGCGCAUAAUAUUAUAAUGGAAGAUAGGAACUACGUAAUGGAUCUCACGUUAAUGCCUGAGAAAAAGUUGGAAAGAUUACGUACCGUUAUACCGAAGGCAAUAAACGAGGGGCUUCUCGCUACGCUUGCCUAUAUACCAUAUAUAUAUGUGGGUACAGCUACAACCCUAUGUACGUAUAUACUUAUAUGUAUAAACAUAUCUUUCAUACCGACUGUCACAGAUUCUAUGCCAAGACGUCACACGUCAACAUAUUUCUAUAGGAAGUCUUCGGUAUGGCAGUUGGAACGAUUCAAAAAAUCGAAUACCGCGUGCCAACUCAUUCUUCAAGAUGGAGGUUUGAAGAAACGGCGGGUACCGUAGAUACAACAAAAAUCUCAUCCAGCAUCACCAAACGACACAGAGAUACGUCGCGUGUGGCAACUGCCACCAAGAAGUUAGAAGAAAAUUUUGAAAAAUAAAAAUCCUGCUUAAAACAAACAGCCCGCCCUAGACUUGCGGCCGCCUUGUAAUAACGCGUCUGACCAAUACCGGAUGGAUAAUCGUUUAACUGCAACCCUCGGCUCUUAAAACCAUUUUGGCGCAGUUACAAACCUACCGAUUGUCCUGCUAACAAGCCGAACCGUAGUUUCGGCAAACCUACAAGGACGAAGUAUGGUCGCGGCAUCUUUUGUAAUCCCUCGCGGACCUUUAAUUGCGCACGCGGAGAAAAGAUACUUAGCUAAGAAACUAUGGUUGUCAUAGUUUUUUGAAUAAACUACAAAAAAUUUCAAAAAAUCUUCAUACCAUCGUUUUUGACAUCGACAUAAAAUCGAUUCGUUCACGGCCGUGAACGACGGGGUUAGGUUAACUAUGGGUGGACAAAUUUUUUUUCGAAUUUGUAACUAAAAAAAAAUGUCUGGAAAUAUUAAUUGGGGGUAAUUUUCUCACACGUUGAUCCUCGCUCGAGGCACAAUGAUUUUUCUCAUCUGCACCAAUUUUUAGUGUGACACGUCCUUUCCGCCAUUCAGUAAAUUCGAGAUGCCUACGACGUGAUAAACAUUUAUAAUAUCAUUAACAAAAAAAAAAAAACCAGUAGGGAUUCUUCUCAGAGACAAUCAUUACAGGCGGUACCUUAUUUGUCCCUGUAGUUUUUUUUUUGGAAAUCCUUUGCUGUCUGAUUAGGUCAUAGUGCCGCCUAGUGAUUUUAAAGCGACCAAUAUUUGAUGAAACUAAUCACAAAAAAAAAGGAAGACAGAAUACUUGUCAUUUACCUGUCU
Long non-coding RNA from Cephus cinctus (wheat stem sawfly), 6052 nucleotides. RefSeq lists it as uncharacterized. NCBI's taxonomy places the organism in Eukaryota, Metazoa, Arthropoda, Insecta, Hymenoptera, Cephidae. The record is from RefSeq and is a predicted model, not a curated record. The transcript has 11 exons.